RNAcentral lists this ribosomal RNA (371 nucleotides) under uncultured bacterium. RNAcentral describes it as "bacterial SSU rRNA". It matches the Rfam family "Bacterial small subunit ribosomal RNA", at positions 527 to 896 of the family's 1533-position model. The record is from RNAcentral.
GUAGGGUGCGAGCGUUAAUCGGAAUUACUGGGCGUAAAGUGUGCGCAGGUGGCCGCGCGAGUCGAGUGUGAAAUCCCCGGGCUUAACUUGGGAAUUGCGCUCGAAACUACGUGGCUAGAGUGUGGCAGAGGGAGGUGGAAUUCCACGUGUAGCGGUGAAAUGCGUAGAGAUGUGGAGGAACACCAAUGGCGAAGGCAGCCUCCUGGGCCAACACUGACACUCAUGCACGAAAGCGUGGGGAGCAAACAGGAUUAGAUACCCUGGUAGUCCACGCCCUAAACGAUGAUGACUAGUUGUUGGGGGAGUUAAAUCCCUUAGUAACGCAGCUAACGCGCGAAGUCAUCCGCCUGGGGAGUACGGUCGCAAGAUUA